CUAAUUUAUGGCUGAAGGUUGGAUGAAUGUGUUUCACAUGUUAAACUUCAAAUGACUAUAAUACCCUUAUGUCAAUGUUAGGUAUAAAUAUUAUCUUCCAUGAAGUAAAGAAAACAUCACUUGUAUAAUUAUUAUCUUUGAGUCAAAUUAAUUAAGUUAAGAUGACUUUUCUUAAGAAAGUUUUUCUCUUUAUUGCUCUCUUUGUUGCAAUUUCAGUUAAUCUGUGUUGGAGUUCUAAAGUGAUGGCUUUAAGAGAGCUACCAUUUGAUAUUGCAAAGAUGAAGGUAAAACUACCUUUACUUGGUAAUGGUCUUACUUGUUAUCGAUUUUGCAACGACGAUAGCGAUUGCGCUGAUGGGACUAUUUGUAGACGCUGUGCCUACAAUUAUUUUACUCCGAAUGAUUGUUCCAUAUUGUUUUAACAAAUGCGCUUUUAAUGGUGAAGAUUAUUGUGGAACUGUCAUUCAAGCGAGUUAAAUAAUGUUGUGUUUCUAAGAAAGUUAAAUAAUAAACGCGUUGUUAUUGGUGAAGUAUGCUUGAAGUGCGCAGAUUAUAUUUACUGCGUACAAAGGAUGAAUGUAACUACUAUUAUAUGUUUGAUAUACCUUUGUGUAUAUUCAAGCAUUUUAAAUAGUGUUGUGUUUCCAAGUUUGUAUAAUAAGAAGAUAAAUAUGUAACCUAGCUAGUUUUCCAAAUAUUGGGAACUAUCUACCUAUUGUAAUGUAUGGGUUACAACUUAAAUGAAUAUAAGUAUAUUUUUACUUGUCUUUA
Long non-coding RNA from Capsicum annuum, 771 nucleotides. RefSeq lists it as uncharacterized. The transcript has 2 exons. Lineage: Eukaryota; Viridiplantae; Streptophyta; Magnoliopsida; Solanales; Solanaceae. The record is from RefSeq and is a predicted model, not a curated record.